Molecule: ribosomal RNA, 422 nt
Filed under: Verrucomicrobiota bacterium
Lineage: Bacteria; Pseudomonadati; Verrucomicrobiota
Description: Verrucomicrobia bacterium partial 16S ribosomal RNA
Rfam family: Bacterial small subunit ribosomal RNA
Source: RNAcentral
UGGGGAAUAUUGCACAAUGGGCGAAAGCCUGAUGCAGCGACGCCGCGUGAGGGAUGGAGGCCUUCGGGUUGUAAACCUCUUUCAGUAAGGGUGAAGGCUCUCUUUUGUGGAGGGUUGACAGUACUUGCAGAAGAAGCGCCGGCUAACUACGUGCCAGCAGCCGCGGUAAUACGUAGGUGGCAAGCGUUGUCCGGAAUUAUUGGGCGUAAAGCGCGCGCAGGUGGUUUAGAAAGUCUGAUGUGAAAGCCCACGGCUCAACCGUGGAGGGUCAUUGGAAACUAAUAAACUUGAGUGCAGGAGAGAAAAGUGGAAUUCCUAGUGUAGCGGUGAAAUGCGUAGAGAUUAGGAGGAACACCGGUGGCGAAAGCGGCUUUUUGGCCUGCAACUGACACUGAGGCGCGAAAGCGUGGGGAGCAAACAGG